Molecule: ribosomal RNA, 274 nt
Filed under: uncultured bacterium
Lineage: Bacteria
Description: partial 16S ribosomal RNA
Rfam family: Bacterial small subunit ribosomal RNA
Source: RNAcentral
AUACGGAGGGUGCAAGCGUUACUCGGAAUCACUGAGCGUAAAGCGCGCGCAGGCGGGCUGAUAAGUUGGAUGUGAAAGCCUACGGCUCAACCGUAGAACUGCAUCCAAAACUGUCAGUCUAGAGUGUGGGAGAGGAAGAUGGAAUUAGUUGUGUAGGGGUAAAAUCCGUAGAGAUAACUAGGAAUACCAAAAGCGAAGGCAAUCUUCUGGAACACUACUGACGCUGAGGCGCGAAGGCUUGGGGAGCAAACAGGAUUAGAAACCCUUGUAGUCC